Oncorhynchus gorbuscha (pink salmon) is the source of this 498-nucleotide long non-coding RNA. RefSeq lists it as uncharacterized. The transcript is spliced from 2 exons. Lineage: Eukaryota; Metazoa; Chordata; Actinopteri; Salmoniformes; Salmonidae. The record is from RefSeq and is a predicted model, not a curated record.
CCCCUCUGUCCAUCCUCCCUCCCCGAGCCUCGACACGGGAUUCGACACGUCACCUCACCCUCGCAGGAGCUCCGCCCACACCUGAACAGCCAGUCAACCAGGAGCCCAUAUUUGGAGCAGAGGGGGAGUGGCCAGGGGGCAGAGGGGCGGGACCCUCAGAAGCAGGAUUGGUACACGAAGUACUUCUCCUUCUGAACACACACACACACACACACACACACACACACACACACACACACACACACACACACACACACACACACACACACACACACACACACACACUCAGCUUUAAACAAACACCUGACAGACCACACACACACCCCCCCCCACACUCAGGUGACCUCUACUCACCUGUACAACACACACAGGUGACCUCUACUCACCUGUACAACACACUCAGCUUUAAACAAACACCUGACAGACCAAAAGCUUGUUCAAUGCAAAUGUAUUGUAUUAUAAUCUAUAAUGUGGAAUAAAGUAUUUUAUUUAUAUCUA